This 62-nucleotide non-coding RNA is filed under the name Lotharella oceanica. Lineage: Eukaryota; Cercozoa; Chlorarachniophyceae. The record is from RNAcentral.
AAAAAAAAAAAAAGGAAAAAGAAAGAUGAAAAAGAAAACGAAAAAACUUGUCAGCGAAUUGC